GGAAAUCCUCCCCUGUCUGGGAGCAUUUUGAAAUGGUUGCUCACAAUAAGGUGAAAUGCUUGCUGUGCCUGAAGGAGCUGACAUACAGCAAUAACACCUCCUCCAUGCUCAGGCAUUAUCGAGCACUGCAUGAACAUGCAGAAACUAGUAACAAUCCACACAGUACUCAAAAUUCCAAAAAAGAAAUGGUGAA
Molecule: long non-coding RNA, 193 nt
Organism: Megalobrama amblycephala (Wuchang bream)
Lineage: Eukaryota; Metazoa; Chordata; Actinopteri; Cypriniformes; Xenocyprididae
Exons: 3
Source: RefSeq, a predicted model, not a curated record